RNAcentral lists this ribosomal RNA (195 nucleotides) under Triticum aestivum (bread wheat). RNAcentral's name for it is "partial small subunit ribosomal RNA". The record is from RNAcentral. Lineage: Eukaryota; Viridiplantae; Streptophyta; Magnoliopsida; Poales; Poaceae.
AUGGCGAGCGGGCGAGGCAGCACACGCGGGGUAGGGGAAGAAAAUGGCAGGACCCGAUGGCGAGCUCCUGGUGGUGCUCGCCGGAGCAGUGGUGGCGAGGAGGAGGACCUCGGGUGGCUAAAGGCGCCAGCGAGCGCGGGGCGAUGUAGGGAGCAAAAACAGCUCCAGGAGCUUGACGGGGCGACGGAGCCGUAG